GGUUAUGGCUCAGCGGUAGAGUGCUCGCCUAGCAUGUUCGAGUCUCUGGGAUCAAUCCUCAGCACCA
This 67-nucleotide transfer RNA is filed under the name Marmota monax (woodchuck). RNAcentral's name for it is "tRNA.Ala". The record is from RNAcentral. Lineage: Eukaryota; Metazoa; Chordata; Mammalia; Rodentia; Sciuridae.